AUGAAAUCUCCCUGCAGUGUGAACAGCUGAACUUAAUAUAGAGGAAAUUUCUCAAAGAAGUGCCCUGGUGCCUAGCAAAUGUGCCUGUCAAAAAGGGUUGCUCCUUUCUGGGUAUUUGUUUUAGCAAGUCCCAGCCUACAGGAUUACACAGAGUGGCUGAGGAUAGAUUUCUGCUUUAAGCAGGUUUUCAUUUUGUAGCUUUGAAAAUUACACUUUUCAUUAGCAUAAAUGUGACAGCAGAUUAAAGAAUGAAAUUCUAUUUAACAAAAAGAACUUCAAGCUAAUAAUUCUUCAGAUAACCAAGAUACGAAGUUCCGAAGAUCAGCACAAUUUCUUCUAACAGGGUCUCCAUGCAAAGAACAGAAGUCACACUGUGCCUGCCAAAGUCCAGAAGCUUUCCUGCACUGUCAGGCACAUACCAUGUCAAGCAUCCAAGCAGUUGGAGUUGAAAGAAGAAAGAGGGGAGAAGGAACGAAUGACAAGCAGGUCCCAGGACUCGUCACUAGAAAGGCAUCUGGCCCCAGCACACGACAUGCUACAGAAGAAAAUCCUGCCAUAGCAUCCUCCUCACAGCACCAACAAGGAUGCCCAAAUCUCCUGAGACACAAAGCACACAUCAUAUGGCCAAGAGCCACAGCACACCCCCACACACCUUGGACAGCUGACAGCUGAGGCAGAUCCAGAAGUGGUGAAGAUGAUUCACAAAAUGGAAGACUGACAUUCACAACUCUCCAGGCUCCUGCUCCGACCCAAGCUAACUGCAGCUGGCCAGCACAACGUGGGGGCAAUUUCAGCACGCUCAUCUGGUCUGCCUUGUCCACACCCAGAGAAACAGAUUAUUCAGCAGCCCCCACUACCACAGGCUCUUUUGAGGGGCUACAUUUGGACUGUUCAAAGCUAUAAAAGAUUCAGCAACCAGCAAGUCUGCAUGUGUUGUAAAUGAGCUGCUUGUCCUUCUGGUUUAAUUUUCUUUAGAGCUGAAGGAAAUGGGUCCAGAUGACAUCAACCCUGUGUAGAAGAUGGCUCUCAGAAACAUCUAUAUGUACAUUCAGAAGAGAUUUAGACUGUUUUCCCAUAUAUAAUCCACCAUCCCUGACACCUUCGUGUGGUAGGUGAAGUCUGAACAACCAGGAUCUGAGCAUACCAAAGCAAACACAUCCCUGCAUUAACAGCCCACUACUGGGUGCAUCUCUGAACACACAACAGCCCCAAAAGCUGAGAGUUUCCUUCACACAGAGAGGAGUGGUUCCCACUCUGGGUAGCUGUGUUGUCCUCCUGCAAUGCACCUUCACACGCGAAUGCUCCGCU
RNAcentral lists this long non-coding RNA (1308 nucleotides) under Gallus gallus (chicken). RNAcentral describes it as "lncRNA (ENSGALG00010009889.1)". Lineage: Eukaryota; Metazoa; Chordata; Aves; Galliformes; Phasianidae. The record is from RNAcentral.